Pongo pygmaeus (Bornean orangutan) is the source of this 788-nucleotide long non-coding RNA. RefSeq lists it as uncharacterized. The transcript is spliced from 3 exons. NCBI's taxonomy places the organism in Eukaryota, Metazoa, Chordata, Mammalia, Primates, Hominidae. The record is from RefSeq and is a predicted model, not a curated record.
CCUCACCUGAGCCUGAGGUUGGCCAUGAACUCGGGCAUGGAGACGGUGUCCAUCAGCACGAAGUCUGCCUUGCCGAAUUCCAGGCUCUCCUGCUCCGCCAUGGCGCCGGUGCGGGGGCUCAGGAUUAUUACAGAUGUCUUGAGCAUGGGACCAUUCUUUUUGCAUCCACCAAAUAACUAUUAUACUACCUUGCAUAUAUAAAUAUGAAAUCCAUACUGGUUCAAUGGAAUGAAGUGAGUUAGACAAAUUCUCCCUCUGUCACUCAGGCUGGAGUGCAAUGGUGCAAUCACAGCUCACUGCAACCUCAAACUCCUGGGCUCAAGCAAUCCUCCAGCCUCAGCCUCCUGAGCAGCUGGGACUACAGGUGUAUGACACCAUGCCCAGCUAUUUUUUUUUAAAUAAAUGACUUUCUAAGGUAUCUACAUUUAUUCAGUCCUGUGUUUCUGUUAGGACAUCUUCUAUUACAAAAUCUACUAGGAAAUCUAGAGGCCUCCAAGGACCUGGCUGGGCUUCAACUCUGGUUGAGUUUGAGAUGAGUAAACCAGACUGAAGGACCUUGCCCAAGGCCUGCUUCAGCUGCCAGCCACCCACACUUGCUAAGAAAAAGGGAAGUGGCUUUGUCACCUCCUGAGGGACUGCCUCUGCCAUCAGAAAACCACUCCAACCCCUGGCACCAGCAGAGCUGGGCUGCAUCUGACUACUGUUAGCAGCUGUCCUUCAGAAGGAGGAGAUCCACCUGUCUCGAUAUGAGUGUCCUCAUUCGUGGAAUAAAAGCUCUGGAAUAAGGU